GAAAUGCGAUAAGUAGUGUGAAUUGCAGAAUUCAGUGAAUCAUCGAAUCUUUGAACGCACAUUGCGCCCUUUGGUAUUCCAAAGGGCAUGCCUGUUCGAGCGUCAUUUGUACCCUCAAGCUUUGCUUGGUGUUGGGCGUCUUGUCUCUAGCUUUGCUGGAGACUCGCCUUAAAGUAAUUGGCAGCCGGCCUACUGGUUUCGGAGCGCAGCUCAAGUCGCACUCUCUAUCAGCAAAGGUCUAGCAUCCAUUAAGCCUUUUUUCAACUUUUGACCUCGGAUCAGGUAGGGAUACCCGCUGAACUUAAGC
This 307-nucleotide unclassified non-coding RNA is filed under the name plant metagenome. Its description in RNAcentral is "partial contains 5.8S ribosomal RNA, internal transcribed spacer 2, and large subunit ribosomal RNA". The stretch from base 1 to 105 matches the Rfam family "5.8S ribosomal RNA", at positions 50 to 154 of the family's 154-position model. The record is from RNAcentral.